Molecule: long non-coding RNA, 956 nt
Organism: Corapipo altera (White-ruffed manakin)
Lineage: Eukaryota; Metazoa; Chordata; Aves; Passeriformes; Pipridae
Exons: 3
Source: RefSeq, a predicted model, not a curated record
CUGGGAGAAGAGGGGGAACACAACAGAACCCUUCACAUUCAUGUCACUCAUGGGGGUGAAGCAAGGACAGCAAUCCACAGUUUAACACUCUCCCUGUUAGAUCAGGAGAGGCCUCUUUGGGAGACCCAUGCCAGGAGCUUGUUUGCAAGAUACUUCACCACUGACCCCAAAAUCCCUUGGGAUUUUGCUGGGUACACUUCCAAGGGCCCUGCUGAGGCCUAAUCUCUGCGUGAAACCGGCUCCGAUGAAGAGCAACUCUGGUAGCCAAAAAUGAUGCAGCGAUUUUCAAGCAGACUACAAGCUAAUCCCCAGGAUCAUGAUUAACAUGUUUAUUUUGCUCAGUUAAACAGAUUCUAAUGUCCAGGGCUGGGUGUAAGCACUGCUAAGAACAGUCACUAAGCUACCAGCUUUGUGUCUCCUUUGGUGAUCUAGAUGGCCACCCCUGACCCUCUAAAACCCCUGAGAUUCCAGAGAGUGAGCAGGCUUUAUGUACUUAUCCAUUCCCAUCACAACAAUAGCCAACUGAUUCCAGAGUUACAGGCUCAAGGGAUGACACAGACAGAACUAAUCCUAAUUUGGAGCCUGAAGAUCCACAGCAGAACGAUCCAACUUUGUUCUUACACUAUUAAUUAACACCACGCUCUAGUUUCCAACAUACUUAAAUGAUGAAUAAGGUUAAAUUCCAGACAACGUUCUGUACAUUGCCAUCAAUUAACAAUUUUCGAGGCAGCGCUUCAUUAAUAAACACUGAUCAGCAGAGCCCUUGUGAGGAGUGCAUUGGAGCUGAGAAAUUGUAUCAGAGCUUCUUUAAUAUGUGAGCUGGAGUGUGUGGUGUGUAUGAGCCCGUGCACAAGUGUGUAUGUGUGCGUGUGUGAAAAAAAAUCAAUGCAAUAUCCUAGGAAACUCAUCAGCACAUCAUCUCCUUAAAGGUUAAUUAAGAAUUUGAGGAAGAACAG